This 107-nucleotide small nuclear RNA is filed under the name Moschus moschiferus (Siberian musk deer). Lineage: Eukaryota; Metazoa; Chordata; Mammalia; Artiodactyla; Moschidae. The record is from RNAcentral.
GUGCUCAUUUCAGCAGCACAUAUACUAAAAUUGGAUUGAUACAGAGAAGAUUAUUAUGGCCCCUGUGCAAGGAUGACACACAAAUUUGUGAAGCAUUCCAUAUUUUU